This 23-nucleotide microRNA is filed under the name Microcaecilia unicolor. RNAcentral's name for it is "Mun-Mir-1329_5p (mature (guide))". Lineage: Eukaryota; Metazoa; Chordata; Amphibia; Gymnophiona; Siphonopidae. The record is from RNAcentral.
UACAGUGAUCCGGUUAUGAUGGA